AGAAUGACUCUCGGCAACGGAUAUCUAGGCUCUUGCAUCGAUGAAGAACGUAGCGAAAUGCGAUACUUGGUGUGAAUUGCAGAAUCCCGUGAACCAUCGAGUCUUUGAACGCAAGUUGCGCCCGAUGCCAUUAGGUUGAGGGCACGUCCGCCUGAGUGUCACAU
RNAcentral lists this ribosomal RNA (164 nucleotides) under Lathyrus boissieri. Its description in RNAcentral is "5.8S ribosomal RNA". It matches the Rfam family "5.8S ribosomal RNA". From Rfam's summary of the family: 5.8S ribosomal RNA (5.8S rRNA) is a component of the large subunit of the eukaryotic ribosome. It is transcribed by RNA polymerase I as part of the 45S precursor that also contains 18S and 28S rRNA. Lineage: Eukaryota; Viridiplantae; Streptophyta; Magnoliopsida; Fabales; Fabaceae. The record is from RNAcentral.